RNAcentral lists this transfer RNA (73 nucleotides) under Actinomycetes bacterium. Its description in RNAcentral is "tRNA-Arg". It matches the Rfam family "tRNA". Rfam says of the family: Transfer RNA (tRNA) molecules are approximately 80 nucleotides in length. The record is from RNAcentral. RNAcentral also lists the same sequence under 2 other names. Lineage: Bacteria; Bacillati; Actinomycetota; Actinomycetes.
GCGCCCGUAGCUCAGUGGAUAGAGCGCUCCCCUCCGGAGGGAGAAGUCGCAAGUUCGAAUCUUGCCGGGCGCA